This 244-nucleotide long non-coding RNA is filed under the name Mytilus galloprovincialis (Mediterranean mussel). The record is from RNAcentral. Lineage: Eukaryota; Metazoa; Mollusca; Bivalvia; Mytilida; Mytilidae.
AAAACACCCGUUCCAGACGUCCCGAAAGUGUAUUUUCUUUUUACAGUCAAUUUUCAUUUUAGUUUAAUAAUUGAUCCACAGCAGUCAUUGAUAUAUUAUUCAGACCCUCUCUAUUAAAUAAACCCUGUGACUGCCGUGGAUAGUAAACUUGAAAAUGAUAUUAGACAGAAAAUACACUUUAUUCGUAGUAUAUGUAUUUGUUUCAAAGUAAAAAGAAAAACGCAAACCGGAGGUUUAAUCUGAC